Molecule: ribosomal RNA, 35 nt
Filed under: Agaricus cf. floridanus JH1
Lineage: Eukaryota; Fungi; Basidiomycota; Agaricomycetes; Agaricales; Agaricaceae
Description: partial 28S ribosomal RNA
Source: RNAcentral
UGACCUCAAAUCANGUAGGACUACCCGCUGAACUU